RNAcentral lists this ribosomal RNA (204 nucleotides) under uncultured bacterium. RNAcentral's name for it is "partial 16S ribosomal RNA". It matches the Rfam family "Bacterial small subunit ribosomal RNA", at positions 570 to 774 of the family's 1533-position model. The record is from RNAcentral.
CGCAGGCGGCGUCGUAAGUCGGUCUUAAAAGUGCGGGGCUUAACCCCGUGAGGGGACCGAAACUGCGAUGCUAGAGUAUCGGAGAGGAAAGCGGAAUUCCUAGUGUAGCGGUGAAAUGCGUAGAUAUUAGGAGGAACACCAGUGGCGAAAGCGGCUUUCUGGACGACAACUGACGCUGAGGCGCGAAAGCCAGGGGAGCAAACG